Molecule: ribosomal RNA, 530 nt
Filed under: Iranotrichia nigra
Lineage: Eukaryota; Metazoa; Arthropoda; Insecta; Diptera; Scenopinidae
Description: partial 16S ribosomal RNA
Rfam family: Bacterial large subunit ribosomal RNA
Source: RNAcentral
CAAAAACAUGUCCUAUAGAUUUUAAUUUUAGGUCUGACCUGCCCACUGAUAUAUUAAAUGGCCGCAGUAUUCUAACUGUGCAAAGGUAGCAUAAUCAUUAGUCUUUUAAUUGAGGGCUUGUAUGAAUGGUUGGACGAAAUAUAAUCUGUCUCAUAUUAAAUUUAUAAUAGAAUUUUAUUUUUUAGUUAAAAAGCUAAAAUUUUGUUGAAAGACGAGAAGACCCUAUAGAUCUUUAUAAAUAUAAUAUUUAUUAUUAUUUAGAUUUGUUAAAUAUUAAUUAUUAUUAUUUAUUUUGUUGGGGUGACAUUAAAAUUUAUAGAACUUUUAAUUUAUUUUACACUUAUUUGUGAAUUAUAUGAUCCAUUAUUAGUGAUUAUAAAAUUAAGUUACCUUAGGGAUAACAGCGUAAUCUUUUUAGAGAGUUCAUAUCGAUAAAAAGGGUUGCGACCUCGAUGUUGGAUUAAAAUAAAUCUUGGGUGUAGCAGUUCAAGAUAUUAAGUCUGUUCGACUUUUAAAUUUUUACAUGAUCU